UGUUUAAUUAAUUAUACACAUAUCUCUAAUGAGUUAUAAAAGGACAUGUAUUUUCAGGUAACAUUUGCACGAGGACGUUCGAAGACUUAUAGUGUAAACAGCAAAUCUUUCACAAUGGGGAAGUUGGCUGUUAUAGUGAUUCUGACUGUAUUUAUAGUUAACAUUGUUGCAGGAGGCCUUAUACCCUCUGAUCCAACCGAUGAGCCAACCGAUGCGCAAACCGAUGAGCCAACCGAGGAAAACGUAAAUGACGACGAUACUAGUGAAACGGAUAGUGAAAGCGAUGAACGUGAUAAAGACGAUGAUGAGACAUCAAAACAAACUAGUGUGGCCAACAGAAUCAAAUAACCCUGUGAUACAUAUACAGGUGGGAUAGUGAUAGUGACGAAAAACACUCAAAUGUCACAUUUAUUUUAAAAAAUAAAUAAAACAUAACUUAAUAUGUA
Molecule: long non-coding RNA, 446 nt
Organism: Mytilus californianus (California mussel)
Lineage: Eukaryota; Metazoa; Mollusca; Bivalvia; Mytilida; Mytilidae
Exons: 2
Source: RefSeq, a predicted model, not a curated record